UGGGGAAUCUUGCGCAAUGAGCGAAAGCUUGACGCAGCGACACCGCGUGAGGGAUGAAGGCCCUCGGGUUGUAAACCUCUUUCGGCAGGGACGAAGCGGAAGUGACGGUACCUGCAGAAGAAGCUCCGGCUAACUACGUGCCAGCAGCCGCGGUAAGACGUAGGGAGCGAGCGUUGUCCGGAUUCAUUGGGGCUAAAGCGCGCGCAGGCGGCCGUGCAAGUCGGGUGUGAAAAUCCGGGGCUCAACCCCGGACCUGCACCCGAUACUGCACGGCUAGAGGUAGGUAGGGGAGAUCGGAAUUCCUGGUGUAGCGGUGAAAUGCGCAGAUAUCAGGAGGAACACCGGUGGCGAAGGCGGAUCUCUGGGCCUUACCUGACGCUCAGGCGCGAAAGCUAGGGGAGCGAACAGGAUUAGAUACCCUGGUAGUCCUAGCCGUAAACGUUGGGUGCGUAGGUGUGGGCGGAUAUUGACCCGUCGUGCCGUAGCUAACGCA
RNAcentral lists this ribosomal RNA (493 nucleotides) under uncultured Actinomycetes bacterium. Its description in RNAcentral is "bacterial SSU rRNA". It matches the Rfam family "Bacterial small subunit ribosomal RNA", at positions 355 to 859 of the family's 1533-position model. The record is from RNAcentral. Lineage: Bacteria; Bacillati; Actinomycetota; Actinomycetes.